AGAAUCUUGGACAAUGCGCGAAAGCGUGAUCCAGCGACGCCGCGUGUAGGAUGAAGGCCUUCGGGUUGUAAACUCCUGUUGUCAGGGAGCAAAUGGCAGUGAGCUAAUACCUCAUUGCCUUGAUAGUACCUGACGAGGAAGCCACGGCUAACUCUGUGCCCGCAGCCGCGGUAAUACAGAGGUGGCAAGCGUUGUUCGGAUUUACUGGGCGUAAAGGGUGCGUAGGAUGUUGUGUGUGUCGGAUGUGAAAUCUUGCUGUUUAUCGGCAAAACUGCAUUCGAAACUACAUGACUAGAGUACAGGAGAGGAGAGCAGAAUUCUCGGUGUAGCGGUGAAAUGCGUUGAUAUCGAGAGGAAUGCCGGUGGCGAAGGCGGCUCUCUGGACUGUAACUGACUCUGAGGCACGAAAGCUAGGGGAGCAAAC
RNAcentral lists this ribosomal RNA (424 nucleotides) under uncultured bacterium. RNAcentral's name for it is "bacterial SSU rRNA". It matches the Rfam family "Bacterial small subunit ribosomal RNA", at positions 358 to 773 of the family's 1533-position model. The record is from RNAcentral.